UCAGGAAGGAGAAUAAUAAAAAAAAAUUAUUAUUUCUGACUUUAGGAGAAGUUACGAUCGGCUACGACUCUUGACGACGUCUAUCUCGCCGUCACGGCUUUCUCACACCCGUCGAACUCCAUUCCGUCGUCGCCGACAACAGGCCAUAUCGGACAAGAACAAUGAUUGUCUUUGACUCCUGAUAGAUUGCCACCAAGGUCAAGACUUGAUUUGGACAACAUAGGCAAUCUCGUGAGCCACUUUCCUAGCAGCUCGUCAUCAGAAGAUUCGAUCUCGGCCACUCCUUGUUGGACGGUUCACGCCGGCACGGAAACCUCUACCGAAGACAAGCUAGGUUUGGCAAGGGUUCUGGUACAGAGCGUUCACGUUCUCGAAGUAUCUUCAGUCUCCGGAUUAGAGUCACCGCUUUCCCCACGGCGGAGACGGAGGUCAGAGAUUCGAUCCUGGCGGCGAGUUUGAGCUUUGACAAGGGAGACGUACUUCUUGCGACCGAGUGAAUUCCAAGAUGUAGAUCCCGCGGCUUCGUCAAUUGAUCACUUCAUCUUCAUCGUUUCUGAAGAAUCUGACGGAACAACAUCAUUCAUCACACCGUCUUCAUCGUUUCGAAGCUCUCCCAGCGAGCUUAAUCUCAGCAGCGCUAUGGACUUGAUACGAACGCCUCGAUCUCGAGAUGUAGAACCCUGAGAGAGCUCUGAUUGGCUUCUUAGAUUCUUGGCAUGCUUUCCCCGGCUACAAAGACGUCUCCUCGUCAAGACUCCCCUCGAGAUCAAGUCAAAACCAGCUCUGUCUCUCUUUGUCGACCACAAGCUCGUGACUUUUAUCACGGUUUUCACAAUCGAUCAUUCGCGACUCUGUCGACAAGAAACUGAAGAUGAGAGGGCCGAGCAACAACUAAUAGGAUACAUAUCAUGUUGAGUUUGUACUUGAGCUGACGAGCUGAAGCUAUGGUGGUCGAAGACGUUUCCCAUUGCCGAGUAAAGCACAUGACUGUUGUUCUACGUCAAACCAUACGAGCCUGAGCUUCUGUAUAAGAAGUCUCGUAACAAAUUUUAGUUGGCAACUGGCACCAUUGAUGGAGCUUGAGCCUGAGCUGAGCGUGUAAGCUGCAUUUCAAGAGGACAGUAACGCUGUUACGGUCUUGAUGACAAUCUAGCGGACUGCCGAAGAAGAGAGGAAGCUUUCUCAUGAAAGGCCGACCAAAUAGCCCAAGAUUCCCAUCAGCUUGCCGUCUCGCAACAAACUGAAACUUGAUCUGACAAGCUCCAAACGGUUAACUUCAAGCCGGUCGCAUGCCAAGAGCUAGAGCUCGCCAAACGCAAUGACAACAGACCUCUGUCUCGGCAAGGUCUCCAUCUCGUCAACAACUAGCUCAGCAUCUUGUUCUCGACAAAUUGAGGCUUGUUACGCUUCACCAGGCAUGACGUCUUCAAUGGUUCCAUCGCUAGAAGCUUGUUUCUGACUUCAAGCUCUAUCAGCUUGUCACCGAUCCACAAAUUCAGUCUCGCAGCACGUUUCUCAGCGUCACGCCGACCACACCAAUCGCUACAACAUGUGGAUCAACAAGACAUCUUGAUGCGCCAAAACUCCACCAUUCCAUCUACACAUGGAUCUUGUCAGUACCGCGAAGACAUGUCCACGGCGAUUCGAUUGUGGCAGUUCUUUCAUGGCGGUACGUUCAUGACGAUGUGUAUGGCGACUUGUCUUUGGCAGUUCGUCGAUUGACACUUAAUCCAUGGCGACUCUUUCGGAUGGUUCAGAACACUGUCCUCACAGAUCGUUCGCGCAACCAUCCCGGGAGGUCCGAUCGGAAUCAGAAGUAUGUCAACGACAGCUCGCCCGGGACAGUCCGUCCAUGACACUUCGUUUAUGGCAACCUAACAACGACAGUCCAUUCAUGACAAUCGUCUACGACAUGGGGGAAACAAGACGUCACUUCUUGAUCAUUACUACGCCAGCUGGAAAGGAGUCUGCUGGGGUUUCAUGGAAGAGAAAAUGUCUCAUAGAUAUGAUGAAAUGAUAAUUCCGAACAAUUUUUAAGGAAAUGAUAGAAGACUCAAGUACAUUGGUAAAAAAAACAGAGAAAGGUUCCUCAUAUUGACUUCUUUCUUGAGACGAGUUUCAAAUGUUUUGUCGAUCCCAUCGGACCCUUUGAUUCCAUGUGGUUCUUUCGACCCCCAGGCUCCGGUUUCCUUUUUGUCAACCCAUCAAGCUUAAGGAACACAACACCACAAAAGCUCCUAGAACUGCUAAAACCAGUGGUUGAAUGAAAAUUUCAUCUCUUAAAACACUUGGGAAUCGUGGUAGUUUUGAAAGAACUACCUUGGUUUCAGCUGAGUCCAGAAUCAUAUUUUGGAAUAAGAGUUGAUAAGGAGCUCCCAAUUAGAAUCUUUCCACUCCAGAAUUAGUUUCUCACGAUCAUAUACAACUCAGGUUAUCGAGGGUUUUAUAUGGGAGAUUUCCUUCUGCAACGAUGAUAAAAGGGGGAAUAAGAUGUCAAUCUUAUCUUUCUAGAUUUCUAAUAGCAUUGUUAACGGAGAAAAUCUUAUGCAUUUUCUGUCAAAGAUAGCAUCACACAUUUGAAAGAGGCUUUGUUACCUACAGAAGGUGUAAAAACCUUUAUCAAAAUUCGACAGUUGUUUCUCUGAUGUUUAUGUAUACUCUUCAUACUGGUUUUCUGUUUGUGGCUUGGAGAUAAGCAAAGCUAUGUAUCGUGAGUUGUAGAUUUUUCUGGAGGUGGGGUAUUAUGGAUUUGAGUUCAUCUUACGUCCAGUGAUACUAAUUUUUUCUAUCGUCAUGAUGUCUGAACAGUAGACAUAUGUAUCCUGGAAGCAUUACAAGGAGAGGCAAAGCUUUAUUUCUAACGACACUAUGGCAGUCUGGCAGUCACGAGACAGAGUUUCGACUGCAAUAAACUAAUAACAGAGGCCUAACUUAGCUAAAUGAAAUAAGACGUAUGUAAUAUUGUCUCAUUACUCCAACCUAUAAGCCACAAAUAUAAAUAUAUAUGAAA
RNA transcript from Brassica oleracea var. oleracea, 3010 nucleotides. RefSeq lists it as uncharacterized. The record is from RefSeq and is a predicted model, not a curated record. The transcript has 5 exons. Lineage: Eukaryota; Viridiplantae; Streptophyta; Magnoliopsida; Brassicales; Brassicaceae.